This 280-nucleotide small RNA is filed under the name Otolemur garnettii (small-eared galago). Its description in RNAcentral is "Metazoan signal recognition particle RNA (ENSOGAG00000028151.1)". The record is from RNAcentral. Lineage: Eukaryota; Metazoa; Chordata; Mammalia; Primates; Galagidae.
GCCGGGCGUUGUGGCGGGCGCCUGUGGUCCCAGCUACUUGGGAGGCAGAGGCAAGAGACUCGCUUGAGCCCAGGAGUUGGAGGUUGCUGUGAGCUGUAAUGCCAGGGCACUCUACCCAGGGGGACAGCUUGAGGCUCUGUCUCAAAAAAAAAAAAAAAAAAAGAUUUGUUUUUGUUGUUUUUUAAGACAAGAGUCUUACUCUGUCACCCUGGAUAGAGCAUCAUGUCAUGACAGCUCACAGCAACCUCAAACUCCUGGGGUCAAGUGAUUUCUCCAGCCU